GAUCCUAUCAAUCCUUUUCCAAACCCUAGCUCUUCCCUGGUGGUUGUUACACCAAGUAAAUCUCAGGCCAACAAAAUCAAGAUCCAUAAGGCCAUUAGUCUGGAUAAAAUCUCUGAACUCCCUGAACCCCAUAUCAUCCACAUACGAUCUGCACUCCUUUUCUGAUGAGGCCUGACAAAACAGUCAAAAUCACCAUCUACCAUAGAUGAGGUUCUCUGAUCAAUCAAAGUUGACACUUUUUGCUACAAAAUAUGUUGCUUUAGAUAAUCAGUGCUCGCAUACACACCAAAUAAGAGCCAAGUAGGUCUAUUUACUUUAGUAAUAAUGAUAACAGCUUACUGAGUAUAUUGGUGUAACACAUUCACAAAAGAUGCACCAGCUUUCCAAGUGACAAUAAUACCCUCAGAUAGACCCUAGGACUCUAUAGUAUAAAACCCCCAGCUAGCAGGAAACUGCCACCAGAUGCGGACUAGACUAGGCCCAGACAACCUUGUCUCCAUAAGGACAAACAAUUUAGGAUCAUACUAUUGCAUAAUUCUCCUAAAAAUGGAAUGAAAGGCUAGUUUUCCCCACC
Molecule: long non-coding RNA, 574 nt
Filed under: Elaeis guineensis (African oil palm)
Lineage: Eukaryota; Viridiplantae; Streptophyta; Magnoliopsida; Arecales; Arecaceae
Description: long non-coding RNA (EGUI_LNC073934)
Source: RNAcentral